AACGUAGGAGACAAACGUUAUCCGGAGUUACUGGGCGUAAAGGGCGUGUAGGUGGUAGUGUAAGUCUGGCGUGAAAUUUUUCGGCUUAACCGGGAAAGGUCGUCGGAUACUGCACAACUAGAGGACGGUAGAGGCGUGUGGAAUUCCGGGUGUAGUGGUGAAAUGCGUAGAGAUCCGGAGGAACACCAGUGGCGAAGGCGGCCUUCUGGACGGUGACUGACGCUGAGACGCGAAAGCGUGGGGAGCAAACAGG
RNAcentral lists this ribosomal RNA (253 nucleotides) under uncultured bacterium. RNAcentral's name for it is "partial 16S ribosomal RNA". It matches the Rfam family "Bacterial small subunit ribosomal RNA", at positions 524 to 776 of the family's 1533-position model. The record is from RNAcentral.